This 900-nucleotide long non-coding RNA is filed under the name Brachypodium distachyon (stiff brome). RNAcentral describes it as "long non-coding RNA (BDIS_LNC004668)". Lineage: Eukaryota; Viridiplantae; Streptophyta; Magnoliopsida; Poales; Poaceae. The record is from RNAcentral.
GCCUGGGCUCGUGGCAGCCUUGGCCGCUAGCUCGGGCAUCAGGCACCCUUCCUCGGCCAUGGCGCACUUCUGAGAUAUAUUGCGCUGCCCAGGUGCCCAAAAACAAGUGCAGAAACUUCGGAGCUCGAAACAUCCACCUUAGAGGAUGAAUUUGAGGGUCAAGGAGCCGUUAAUUUUAGAGGAUGCGCCUCGUCGAGAGCUUUCCGAAAAGUCCUGGAACGUCCAAAUCCGACUUCGUAUGCAAAAGAUACGCCCGUUUUAGUGAACACGGGUCAAACCCACCCGAAACUCUAAUUCUACUUGGACUCGGGUCCGAAACUGACCCGAACUCUUUCUCUUUUUUUUCGUUUUUUUUUCUCUCGUUCCUUUUUUUUUUCUUUCCUUAAGCUCUGAUACCACGUGAUAGCCUCGAGGGUAUCCCGAUCUUUCGAUGAGAUACCUAAUUAUUGAUUUGGUAGGAGGUGACGUUGACGAUCCGACUACAACCUAGGAGGCAGCGCCUUAGCGAUCGAUACACCAACUCCAGAAGGUUAUUGAUCCCGCGGGGGCACGAUCAACCUUACCACGAAGGUCUUUGGUCCUGCAAACAAUCGAAGAACAAGCAAGAACAAGAUGAAAAGCAAUCUAAAAUUGCGAAUAGGAGAUAUGACGGUUCACGAAUCUGAAUAUUCAGUAUAGUUGGAGUCUUAAUGACGGUAAAACAGGUGGCUAACCGACACACGCGAUUACACGAAAGAAGGAAAGGCUAAACUUUAUCUAAUCAAAACCCAAAGCUCCAUAGGGGGGCUCAUGGGGUAUAAAUAGGAGGGGAACUAGGUGGUUUUCGGUUAGGUCCUUGAGGGACUCCGAAACGGCCUAGGAAUCCUCCUAAAACACAAGGAAAACAUCUAAAAAUUGGCU